UGGGAAUGGGAGUUGUUUACUUGUUCAAGC
RNAcentral lists this non-coding RNA (30 nucleotides) under Mus musculus (house mouse). Lineage: Eukaryota; Metazoa; Chordata; Mammalia; Rodentia; Muridae. The record is from RNAcentral.